GGUGCGCUCUUCUAUCGGUUAAGAACACCCGUUGUCUGCGGGAAAAGCGGGGUUCGAUUCCCCGGCGCAUCGCCA
RNAcentral lists this transfer RNA (75 nucleotides) under Brevundimonas phage vB_BgoS-Bajun. Its description in RNAcentral is "tRNA-Asp". The record is from RNAcentral. Lineage: Duplodnaviria; Heunggongvirae; Uroviricota; Caudoviricetes.